RNAcentral lists this ribosomal RNA (114 nucleotides) under uncultured bacterium. RNAcentral describes it as "partial 16S ribosomal RNA". It matches the Rfam family "Bacterial small subunit ribosomal RNA", at positions 1360 to 1482 of the family's 1533-position model. The record is from RNAcentral.
CGGUGAAUACGUUCCCGGACCUUGUACACACCGCCCGUCAAGCCAUGGAAGCCGGGUGUACCUAAAGUCGAUAACCGCAAGGAGUCGCCUAGGGUAGAACCGAUAAUUGGGGCU